GGCUAUGGCUAUACCAUCCUGAACACACAUGAUCUCAGAAACUAAGCAGGAUUGGGCCUGGUUUGUACUUGGAUAGGAUACUACCUAGAAAUACCAGAUGCUAUAGGAU
RNAcentral lists this ribosomal RNA (109 nucleotides) under Sarcophilus harrisii (Tasmanian devil). Lineage: Eukaryota; Metazoa; Chordata; Mammalia; Dasyuromorphia; Dasyuridae. The record is from RNAcentral.